Phacochoerus africanus (Common warthog) is the source of this 1530-nucleotide long non-coding RNA. RefSeq lists it as uncharacterized. The transcript is spliced from 4 exons. Lineage: Eukaryota; Metazoa; Chordata; Mammalia; Artiodactyla; Suidae. The record is from RefSeq and is a predicted model, not a curated record.
CAUCUCUCCUGGUUAUUCAGGUUUGGUAUUCAGGCGGCAACUUCUGAGAGUCUCAGAGAAGUUUCUGGGCACUGCCUUCUUGUCCCUGAUCUCCUUCUGAGCCAAGGAAGACUUUCCACCAAGAUCUGAUGAGAGAGGAAAAUCUACCCAGAAGCCAUUAGCAGACUUCCAGUUAUGUCCCCUUGCCAAGAAGUGGAUCAAACGACCACCACAUUGGCUAAAUCCAUAAUCUGCAAAGAGGAAAUGAACCAGACUGAUCAAGGUUCAUUGCACAGGCCCAAGAAUCAUCACGUGCACUUCUGCAACUAAAUAUAAAAGGAUUGCAAAACAGGCUAUGGGGGUUCAAGGCUCAUUUUCCUGCUCCCCUUCCUGUCUAUUAUAUUUUGGAGGAUAACAUAAUCCCACAUGCUUUCAUCUGUCUGCCUGAGAGCUCCAACUACUCCCUGGGAUGUGUGAACUAGAACUGUGUGGUUGAUAGUGUAACUUCUCACAGAACACCUGCAGGUGUGAGAACAGCACUCGAAGAUGCUGGAGCAGACUCCAGAGAGCCUUGCUGGCCUUGCCAAGGCACAGGGUUGACUGGGCUCCCAGCCCUGUGAUGUUCUGGUUAAGUGUGAGUGGCAGAAGCUUAUGCCUGCUUGCCGAAGUCACUUUCAAUGACUACCACCUGGGAGUCACAGAUAAGGGAUGAUAAAGGUUUUCUUUUCCACUCCUUUGCUGCCUUCAGCCAGUGUCUGCAGAGAUUCUUAACUAGUAGCCGUGCUCUGAGGGACCGUUUGUUUCCCUGUCAGUAUUGUUUCCGCGCUGAAAAAAGGAAAAGAAGUCCCUGUUUUCAACGGACGCCCUUGCAAGGCAUUGGCAGCCCAGGGUGGACUCACAAGCGUCUUCGUCCCUGGCAGUGAAGGCAGGGCUGUCUUGGAGACCAGAAACUUCGAGCAAGAACUCGGGGAACAAAAGAGAGGCGGGGGCACUGCUUAUUCAGAGGCCCUGAUUGAAGAAGUCCUUGAUCAAAGGCACUGCAGAACACAAGCUGCAGGCUGACUGGGAGUAUUUGGAACAUGAAGGUGAUGAAGGGGAUCCAGCCUUUUUCUGAACAGAAGGAAAUGACCAGGGGAAAUGGUCCUCCUUUAACUGACAGAGCUCUGUCAGGGCCGAUGACAGGAGGGGGCUGUUGUUGGGAAGCUGCCGAGCGCUUGCGGUUAUUCAAAGUGUGACCAGCUUCACAAGGCUACCCUCCCUCCCCCGUCAUAAAUGAAGGAAGAAGCAUUUGAAUCAGGGCCAGGUCCUGACUGAAAAGAGAAUCUUCAAACGACGGAAACUUCAGCAAGGACUUCAACACGUGAACUUAGGGGACACAAUUCAACCCCUAACAUGGGUUGAAAGGAUCUUCUUUUGAAAGAAGGAACUUCUUUUUUGAAAGAAGGAGCUUCUUUUGAUAAAGUUUCUGAGAGUGUGAAUGAAAGAGGGGGCCCAAUCUCAGGUAAAACUUUUGAAUAUUUUUUUUUUAAUUUUUUUUAAUUUUACUUAAUU